CAGUAGCCGCGGGAAUACGAAGGGGGCUAGCGUUGCUCGGAAUUACUGGGCGUAAAGGGAGCGUAGGCGGACAUUUAAGUCAGGGGUAAAAUCCCAGAGCUCAACUCUGGAACUGCCUUUGAUACUGGGUGUCUUGAGUGUGAGAGAGGUGAGUGGAAUUCCGAGUGUAGAGGUGAAGUUCGUAGAUAUUCGGAAGAACACCAGUGGCGAAGGCGGCUCACUGGCUCAUACUGGACGCUGAGGUGCGAAAGCGUGGGGAGCAAACAGGAUUAGAUACCCCGGUAGUCCCUGUCUCUUAUAC
Molecule: ribosomal RNA, 301 nt
Filed under: uncultured bacterium
Lineage: Bacteria
Description: partial 16S ribosomal RNA
Rfam family: Bacterial small subunit ribosomal RNA
Source: RNAcentral